Molecule: ribosomal RNA, 691 nt
Filed under: uncultured bacterium
Lineage: Bacteria
Description: bacterial SSU rRNA
Rfam family: Bacterial small subunit ribosomal RNA
Source: RNAcentral
AGAGUUUGAUCCUGGCUCAGAUUGAACGCUGGCGGUAUGCUUAACACAUGCAAGUCGAACGGAAACGAUACUAGCUUGCUAGUAGGCGUCGAGUGGCGGACGGGUGAGUAACGCGUAGGAAUCUACCUAGUAGCGGGGGAUAGCCCGGAGAAAUCCGGAUUAAUACCGCAUAAUCUCUAUGGAGAAAAGGGGCCCUCUUCUUGAAAGGUUUCGCUAUUAGAUGAGCCUGCGUAAGAUUAGCUUGUUGGUGAGGUAAAAGCUCACCAAGGCGACGAUCUUUAGCUGGUCUGAGAGGAUGAUCAGCCACACUGGGACUGAGACACGGCCCAGACUCCUACGGGAGGCAGCAGUGGGGAAUAUUGGACAAUGGGCGCAAGCCUGAUCCAGCAAUACCGCGUGUGUGAAGAAGGCCUGAGGGUUGUAAAGCACUUUCAAUUGUGAAGAAAAGUUAAAGGUUAAUACCCUUUAGCCUUGACGUUAACUUUAGAAGAAGCACCGGCUAACUCCGUGCCAGCAGCCGCGGUAAUACGAAGGGUGCAAGCGUUAAUCGGAAUUACUGGGCGUAAAGCGUGCGUAGGUGGUUUGUUAAGUCAGAUGUGAAAGCCCCGGGCUCAACCUGGGAACUGCAUUUGAAACUGGCAAACUAGAGUAUAGGAGAGGAAAGUGGAAUUUCAGGUGUAGCGGUGAAAUG